RNAcentral lists this ribosomal RNA (1203 nucleotides) under metagenome. RNAcentral's name for it is "SSU rRNA". It matches the Rfam family "Eukaryotic small subunit ribosomal RNA", at positions 527 to 1760 of the family's 1831-position model. The record is from RNAcentral.
AAACCCUUUAACGAGGAUCUAUCAGAGGGCAAGUCUGGUGCCAGCAGUCGCGGUAAUUCCAGCUCUGAAGGUGUAUACCACCGUUGUUGCGGUUAAAACGCUCGUAGUUGGAUCUACGUUCGUGGGGUCGGUGUUCUCGUUUGAGUGCUACUGACUACCUGAACUGAAACAGCUGGUUUUCCCUUGGUGCUCUUUAUUGGGUGCCCUGGGUGGCUAGCAAGUUUACUUUGAAAAAAUUAGAGUGCUCAAAACAGGCGCAUGCCUGAAUAGUGGUGCAUGGAAUAAUGGAAUAGGAUCUUGGUCCUAUUUUGUUGGUUUUCGGGAGCCGAGAUAAUGAUUAAGAGGGACAGACGGGGGCAUUCGUAUUGCAGCGUUAGAGGUGAAAUUCUUGGAUCGUUGCAAGACGAACAACUGCGAAAGCAUUUGCCAAGAAUGUUUUCAUUAAUCAAGAACGAAAGUUAGAGGUUCGAAGGCGAUCAGAUACCGCCCUAGUUCUAACCGUAAACGAUGCCAACUCGCGAUCUAGUGGUGUUAUUUAUGACCCGCUAGGGAGCGUCCCGGAAACGAAAGUUUUUCGGUUCCGGGGGAAGUAUGGUUGCAAAUCUGAAACUUAAAGGAAUUGACGGAAGGGCACCACCAGGAGUGGAGCCUGCGGCUUAAUUUGACCCAACACGGGAAAACUCACCCGGCCCGGACACCGUAAGGAUUGACAGAUUGAGAGCUCUUUCUUGAUUCGGUGGGUGGUGGUGCAUGGCCGUUCUUAGUUGGUGGAGCGAUUUGUCUGGUUAAUUCCGAUAACGAACGAGACUCUAUCCUACUAAAUAGCAAGCGGAUCAGCCCAGUCCGCAGUGCUUCUUAGAGGGACAAGCAGCUUUUAGCUGCACGAAGGUGAGCAAUAACAGGUCUGUGAUGCCCUUAGAUGUCCGGGGCUGCACGCGCGCUACACUGAAAGGAUCAGCGUGCAAGAUACCUUCCCCGAGAGGGGUGGGUAACCCAAUCAAAACCUUUCGUGAUUGGGAUAGGAGAUUGCAAUUAUUCUCCUUGAACGAGGAAUUCCCAGUAAGUGUGGGUCAUCAGCUCGCGCUGAUUACGUCCCUGCCCUUUGUACACACCGCCCGUCGCUGCCCGGAACUGAGCCGUUUCGAGAAGAACAGGGACUGCUGUUUGGUGGCCUUCGGGUUGCCUCUUGGCGGAAACUGUUUU